GAGUCCUACGGGAGGCAGCAGUGAGGAAUAUUGGUCAAUGGGCGGAAGCCUGAACCAGCCAAGUCGCGUGAGGGAUUAAGGCCCCGCGGGUCGUAAACCUCUUUUGCCGGGGAGCAGUGGUCCGGACGCGUCCGGACCGGGAGAGUACCCGGAGAAAAAGCAUCGGCUAACUCCGUGCCAGCAGCCGCGGUAAUACGGAGGAUGCGAGCGUUAUCCGGAUUUAUUGGGUUUAAAGGGUGCGUAGGCGGAGUGUCAAGUCAGCGGUAAAAUUUCGGGGCUCAACCCCGUCGUGCCGUUGAAACUGA
This 305-nucleotide ribosomal RNA is filed under the name uncultured bacterium. RNAcentral's name for it is "bacterial SSU rRNA". It matches the Rfam family "Bacterial small subunit ribosomal RNA", at positions 334 to 636 of the family's 1533-position model. The record is from RNAcentral.